This is a long non-coding RNA of Astatotilapia calliptera (eastern happy), 1216 nucleotides long. Lineage: Eukaryota; Metazoa; Chordata; Actinopteri; Cichliformes; Cichlidae. The record is from Ensembl.
AGCCUUCCUGUCCACUUCCUCCAUGUAAAGCCCUGCAAGCACUGGCACAUAUGAAGAUGAGGAUAACUACCUACGGAGAGGUCAGCAAUGCAACCAUCAUUAAACUUAUUGAAGAGUUUUUUAGCAACCAGAUCCUGAAUGGAACAGCCCACAGUCUCUCUGUGACAAAUAUUCAACAAGUGAGAGUUGGCCCAUAAAAGCUUUGCAUGGACAGAAGUCAAAAGUGACUGAAUAAAGACAACAAUUCAAGGAUGUAUUUGGUUUAACAUAAUGUGAAGCAGCAGUAUGACUGAACUGUCAUACUGCCUCUUCACAUGUCUUGAAAUAAAGCAAGCCAUCAAUUUACAAUUCAAGAAAAGAAUUUCUGAGUAAAAAAGAAGAUUAAAUUACAACCAGCUUUGUAAUUCCACACCUUUGCCUGUAUUUUACAUAAAUAUGAGAAUUGGAAAUGUGCUCUUGGUGUGAGUGUCAACUUGAAAAGUAUAAUAGAAAUCUCAAACCAGGAAAUUUGAUCUGUCACAGAUUUGUAAGAGGCGUUAUCAGUUCUUCAGCUCGAGAAGCAGAGGUCACUCUGACAAGCCUGGUAACCAAAAACUGUAAAGCUGGCUUCUUGCUUAUAUAGACAAAGAAAAGUGAGUGAAGCAUACCAAGUGCAUGAAUACUGUCCCUCAAAUCGGGAAAAUCAAUUGUCUGUCAGAUAUUACUGGCAGAUCUUGUUAUUAUGAGUGAUUCUGUUGUACUCAAGGUCACCUUUCCAGUUCAUUGGCAAGACAGAAUUUGAAAGCAUUCCUUUGUAUUUUACUUUAAAGAAUAACUAAAAUUUGGAGGAUGUACAACAUACUGUGUGUUCAGAGAAACUCUGAGAAAGUUUCUGUCACAAGCAUCAGGGAUCACUGCAGUCUGGAGAGAAUGGUCAAGAAAAAUCCAUCCUUCUUUUGAUAUAGGAUAAAUUUGAAUAAAAAUGAACUAAUGCCUAUACGUGUGAGUAACUCCUCUUAGCUACAAAACCUCACGUUUAGUAUAACUUAUGAGAGGUUCACUCUGGGUAUUCAGGAUACAAAGUGCUGGCAACCUAAUGCAGUUAACAAACGUGUCGCCAAGAGGGAAACUACUCGCUUGGCGACACAAAGCAGUCAUCUCCUCUGUGAAUAACUCAAUGGAGCGUGCUGGGAAAAAGUCAGUAGGUGGCACCAUAGUUGCUCUUGUUGCAAAGGCC